GACGAACGCUGGCGGCGUGCUUAACACAUGCAAGUCGAACGGUGAAGGGGCCUGCUUUUGUGGGCCCUGGAUGAGUGGCGAACGGGUGAGUAACACGUGAGUAACCUGCCCCCUUCUUCUGGAUAACCGCAUGAAAGUGUGGCUAAUACGGGAUAUUCUGGGUCUGUCGCAUGAUGGGUCUGGGAAAGAUUGCGCCUUUGGGUGUUUUUGGUGGGGGAUGGGCUCGCGGCCUAUCAGCUUGUUGGUGGGGUGAUGGCCUACCAAGGCGGUGACGGGUAGCCGGCCUGAGAGGGUGGACGGUCACACUGGGACUGGGACACGGCCCAGACUCCUACGGGAGGCAGCAGUGGGGAAUAUUGCACAAUGGGCGCAAGCCUGAUGCAGCGACGCCGCGUGAGGGAUGGAGGCCUUCGGGUUGUAAACCUCUUUCGCCAGUGAAGCAGGCCUGCUCCUUGUGGGUGGGUUGACGGUAGCUGGAUAAGAAGCGCCGGCUAACUACGU
RNAcentral lists this ribosomal RNA (501 nucleotides) under uncultured bacterium. RNAcentral's name for it is "partial 16S ribosomal RNA". It matches the Rfam family "Bacterial small subunit ribosomal RNA", at positions 28 to 506 of the family's 1533-position model. The record is from RNAcentral.